This 1027-nucleotide transfer RNA is filed under the name uncultured Synechococcus sp. RNAcentral's name for it is "16S-23S ribosomal RNA intergenic spacer". The stretch from base 400 to 472 matches the Rfam family "tRNA". Lineage: Bacteria; Bacillati; Cyanobacteriota; Cyanophyceae; Synechococcales; Synechococcaceae. The record is from RNAcentral.
CAGGGAAGACACAACUGAUCGUGAUGUCUGAGCGCGACCAAGCGUAAGUUGGAAGCACUUGUCUCAGGCCGCGGUCUGUCAUCUCGAAGUCGAUCGGUACCUCAAGGUGAGCCAUCAAAGCCAAGGUAGAAGCCAGAGAGCUCGAGAGAGCAGGAUGGAGGAAGCCAAAGGAUGUUGUGAUGGACUCGUUUUCAGUUCCUAAACUUUGUCUAGGUCACCCCACCAAGGGUUUUGCCAGACAUCCAGUGUUUCGGAUCCCGCCAGGGAGAGGAAGCCAUGGGUGAUUGGAGGAACCACUGUCAGAGUGAUUGUUCCUGGGCCAUUAGCUCAGGUGGUUAGAGCGCACCCCUGAUAAGGGUGAGGUCCCUGGUUCAAGUCCAGGAUGGCCCAUUCGUGUUUGGGGGUUUAGCUCAGUUGGUAGAGCGCCUGCUUUGCAAGCAGGAUGUCAGCGGUUCGAGUCCGCUAACCUCCAUCCAGCUAGGUUAAGACCACAACAUGAAGCUGCAUCAGGAGGAAUUCUGAUGGGUGAAGUGACCGGACAUGUUCAGCUGAGGACUCCAGCCUCCUUUCAUUCCCAAAGAAUGGAUUCAUCGUAUCGGAUGGGUUUCAUUUUGUGAUGGUUGAAAGGAAGCUGGACUCGCUGAUCACCAUUUUGCUUGCUCAUGUGAUCAUGUUCAAGUGAAAUGAUGCAUCGGUGUAGCCAGCAAAGAACCUUGACAACUGCAUAGGUGAGUCUGGAAAAGAAAGCAUCUCAUGGAUGCCCAGACGGACGUGGACGGAUCCUGGUAACCCCGGGUGAAGACUGCGGCUGACUGGGAGAUUCUUGAGUUUAGAGCCGAGAGCUUCCAGCGUCUUUUCGCUCCGCCGAGGAGGGAAGAGUCAGAUUCUGCGUUUCAAACCGCUUGCGUUUGAAUGGGACGAGAGACCGCGACGGGCAACCGCAGCGGUGAAUGGUUUCAUGAAAAGCGAAAGCAGGUGAAAGCAGGAGAAUGGGUCUCAACAACCCUGAACGUUGGAAGUGUUAAUU